Molecule: transfer RNA, 73 nt
Filed under: Stegodyphus mimosarum
Lineage: Eukaryota; Metazoa; Arthropoda; Arachnida; Araneae; Eresidae
Rfam family: tRNA
About the family: Transfer RNA (tRNA) molecules are approximately 80 nucleotides in length.
Source: Rfam by way of RNAcentral
GCCUUCGUGGUGUAAUGGUCAGCACACUGAGCCGGUAUUUCGAAGGUCUGUGGUUCGAUCCCCGGCGAAGGCA